CGGGGUGUGGCGCAGUUGGCUAGCGUGCUUGCAUGGGGUGCAAGAGGUCGUGAGUUCGAGUCUCACCACUCCGAC
This 75-nucleotide transfer RNA is filed under the name Bacteroidetes bacterium ADurb.Bin012. RNAcentral describes it as "tRNA-Pro". It matches the Rfam family "tRNA". Rfam says of the family: Transfer RNA (tRNA) molecules are approximately 80 nucleotides in length. Their secondary structure includes four short double-helical elements and three loops (D, anti-codon, and T loops). Lineage: Bacteria; Pseudomonadati; Bacteroidota. The record is from RNAcentral.